GUUCACACUUGUAUACUUAUUAAGCAAUCAAUUAAGUGUUGCAUUUUUGCUCUGCAGUUUAUAAUGACAUUUCACUGUUUUGUAUUUCACCUCAAUAACAUACAUAACAAAGUAAAGAGAGGGCCUUCGUGCAUUUUCUCUCCAUCUUAAACAUUUUUUACAGGCCAAGGGAGCUGCAGUAACAUCCUUUUACUAAUCAAGGGCUACCGAUUGUAGACUUUGAUAAGAAAUGAGAAAACUAAUGAUCCACACUGAAAAGCGGUGUGAUUACAGUAAACUAUGAGUUACUGAUUUUUUUUGCAACUAAAUUUAUUUACUUUUUGUCCCUGUCUUUUCUCUCCUGAACUCAACGCUAUGUCUACUGCUGGCCCUGUUCACUGUUGGCGACUCAGCUGUAAGUUCACAAAUAAAGUAACUUUAAAAUAUAUUUUUACUGUUACUUUUCACAACACAUUAUCUAAAAACCUGACCUAAAUAACACUUUAUUUUAACUAAUGCAGAAACAAAUGGAAAUAAUUUUGCUGGCUGAUCACUGUUGGAAUUACAAUGCAGUGAGAUGUGCUGGUUUUGUACAAUUAAAAUAAAAAUCUCUUGUCACUGUUUUUCCAUUUUCCUUCUUGCCAACUCUAUCCUGUCUCCAAGUGCAGACCGCUUUGUGGCGACUCGACGUAAGUUCACACAGGAAUGACAUUUUCAUGAAUAAUACAGUGUGCCUUUAUUCAACACAUUAUGGACCCCUCAUCAUGUACUAACUUGACGAUUUUUUCCCUUUGAUUAUGUAAUAUUCACAGUUGGACAUGAACAGCUUGAAUGUUAUAUGCAAUACACUUAUUUGCAUUUUAUUUCCAAUCAUUGGAAAGCAAUUUGUUACUAUUAAAUUGUGGAGUUGUAAUUUUUUUAAUGAUGAAUAUCCAAAUAGUUACUUAUCAUUGUGAUUCCUUACGUUGUGAUUACUUCGUUGGAAAACUUAAAACACAGUAAAGGAAAUUACAUUUCCUAAAAUACAUUAUUAUUUUAUUAGCAUAGUAAUCCAUUGUUAUUAUUGCUUAACAGGACAUGGUUAUGAACAUUAUAAAGGGAACUUUAGAUGAUUUCUAAGAGUCUAAAAUUUUUUUGUAAAAAAAAAUUCUUCUCUUUUUGUAAAAUACUUUGAGGUCCUAAAUUUAAAAAGCUGGCUAUGUGGUUGGAUUCAAGUUGGACUCAGUGUAGGAUGUGGUAGAGAGAUGUACGCUGAGAAGGUGGAGACUAUUUUAAAGAACAUGGAUUACCCACUUCAUAACACCUUGAUGGACCAAAGGGCCUAAGGUGGUGGACGGCUCCUCUCUCUUCGCUGCAGGACAAAAAGAUUCAGAAGGUCUUUUGUACCCACAGCCAUCAGACUUUACAAUUCUUUUAAAAAUAGUAGAUGACUUUUGGAGAUAUGACAAAUGAGACUACAAUCAAAUUUCCCUUCAGGGAAAUAAUAAAUAAAUAAUAAUAAUAAUAAAUAAUAAUUUCCCUUCAGGGAAAUAAUAAAGUUCUCCUUACCUUAAAUACAUUUUUAAUAAAAUACGAGUGUAUGAGCACUUUGGAUUUUUAGUUCUUAUUAAUUUGAUUGAUGGGUUAUCAAACAGGGCAAUUGCCAAUUCCAGGGUUUGACUCAACUUGGCUUUUGAUAGAUGUAUAGUUAAGGAUAGCCAUAUGGUGGAUUAAGUAAAAGCACAUAAUAAUGACAUUAGCUUUGGGUGGAUGUUGGUUCAUUUUGUUUCUCUUAUAAAAAAUGAUUCAUGUUUGUUUUCAUUGUGUCUUACAGGUAUCGUGUCCAGUCUCCCCACUCUCCCCUAUCUUUUUGGCCGCUCUGACUUUCCUGUCUCCUCCACCUCUCUGUCUUAUUGAAAAGCCACUCUAUCUUGUGUCCCCCUUUUCUCUAUCCCUCUAGCUAAAUUUUGGACGCUCUGACUUUCCUGUCUCCUCUACCGCUCUAUCUAAUUGAAAAGCCACUCUAUCUUGUGUCCCCCUUUUCUCUAUCCCUCUGACUAAGUUUGGUUACUCUGACUUUCCUGUCUCCUCUACCGCUCUAUCUGAUUGAUCAGCUUUUCAGAAACCAUUGUGACAAGCCUUUCAGAAACCAUUGUGACAAGCUUUUCAGAAACCAGUGUACCAGAAACCUCUGAGAAACCAGUGUACCAGAAACCUCUGAGAAACCAGUGUACCAGAAACCUCUGAGAAACCAGUGUACUAGAAACCUUUCAGAAACCAGUGUACCAGAAACCUCUGAGAAACCAGUGUACCAGAAACCUCUGAGAAACCAGUGUACCAGAAACCUCUGAGAAACCUAUUGAAGCAAGCUACCUUUUUUUGAGCAACCAUUGAAACAACCUACCUUUGAGAAACCUAUUGAAACAAGCUACCUUAUUUUGAGAAACCAAACUUUUGAAAAGCUGUACAUUUAAUACAACCACUGUUUUGAAAAAUCCCCAAUUUUGCAAAAGUCUGACUGUUGUUCUAGGUCCUCCUUUCCUGUCUGUGGAUCCAGAGUUUCACCGGAAGUGUCAUCAGCACAACCACAUCUGCAUCCCUGAUUUUGAAAGAAAAAAAAAAAGUUCCAUAUAGAAUAUUUGAGUUAGAUAUUAUUUCAAGCACAAAGCGCUAAGAUUUAAAAAUUGUUGUUGAUUUGUGUUUUUUCUGAAAACAUUUAUAUAGUCUUGUGUAGGAUUUCCUUAUAAAACAUUUGAUAAACUAUUGUGGUAUACACAUAGUUAUAAAUUAGAAUUUUGGAGACUAUAAGAGCUGUUAAAUAACGUCCUCUUGAAGAAAUAAAGCAUUUUUGUCUUUACUGGUGCUUAUCAGUAAUUUAAUUGUUGCAUAAACACAUUGUUG
This 2859-nucleotide long non-coding RNA is filed under the name Xyrichtys novacula (pearly razorfish). The record is from RNAcentral. Lineage: Eukaryota; Metazoa; Chordata; Actinopteri; Labriformes; Labridae.